Molecule: long non-coding RNA, 6556 nt
Filed under: Brassica napus (rape)
Lineage: Eukaryota; Viridiplantae; Streptophyta; Magnoliopsida; Brassicales; Brassicaceae
Description: long non-coding RNA (BNAP_LNC016247)
Source: RNAcentral
GAGAUGAUAAUCUUUCUACUCUCUUUGCAGAAUCUGACUUGGAUGGAUGUUAAAACAAACGCAGGUACAAGAGCAUGGGUUUGGCAACGGUGCAGUCGAAGGAGGAUAUAGUGAGGAUGAAGGUGAUGAGAGAGAUGAACAAGAGAGGAGCUAGGAGUCGUGUUAAGUUGGGAAUGAAGAGCAACGUCAUCAGAAACCUGCCCAACAACGUCACGUACUAGUCUCUCCAAACUAGUGUGCUGUCUGGAUUCUGUAAACGCUUUUUAAAUGGAACUUCUGUUGGUGGAGUGAAGUCUAGAACCUAAUAUGUGUUGAAGCUUUUGUUGAAUACGAGUUUGGUAGGUUGAAUGAUAGUGAAAUGAACUCGGUUUUAGUGGGUCUUACAAAGACGUUCUAUUCACAAUAUGAGGUAAACAGUCGAGGUUACAAAGAGAUUAGAGAAAGAAGGAAAAGGUCGGAGCUUUGUUGAAAGGCUCAGACAGAAACACUAAGCAAGGCGAUUGAUCGUAAACCCUAGAUCUUGCCGUCAAUCUCUUAGUGUCUAUUUGCGGAUCCCUUCCUUCCUUCCAUUCGUUCUCCUUUUAUAGGCUCUACAUGUCUCUCACUCGUUCGCCCUGGCAGUUUGGGCUUAAUUUGAUGUUUAAUGGGCUGUCCAUUUUUUUUUUUUUUUUUUGGUAACUAUUAGAUCCAAUGGUUGAUAGAAUAAUAUAUAAAUCCUCAUCAGUGUCCACUUUCGCCCUACGAGUAAAAAAACAUAACUCAGUCUAACACCGUGUAGGAAUAACUACUACAUUGCUCAAGUUAGCUUCCAUCCCCAUGUACCAGGUGGAAUUAUAUCUCAUCGAUGUUUGGUUUAUUAAUCCCUGCCUCGUAACCUAGAGUCAAUGCAGCUUGUGUAAACCCUACAAUACAAAGAUUACGAUUUAAACAGAAAUAAAGCAUUAAUUACCACAUAUAAGAUUUUUCAUGAACAACAAACUCAAGCUCUCAAGCGUUAGAAUUCACGAGUAGCAGGACAAAUUAGAAGAUGUAAAGGAUCAUGCACCAACAUUUGUCCAAAAAAAAAAGAAGAUAAUGCACCAAAGAUCCCGAAAACUACAGUUUGUUUUGUACAAUCAGAUGGUUGAGAAAAUCUGUGGUCGAGCCAACUUCUCCCAUGCCCCUAUAUGUCAUAGAACAAUCUCCUAUGAGCUUCUCAAAUCUUUUAUACCUUCAUUGCUUUAAUGAAAUAUAAAAAUUCAAUUUUGCCAUUUUUAUUUUCGAAAUUAUUAUUUUUUAAAAUAGAGAAUAAUUUCAAAUUUCUAAAAUUUUAAAUUUUUAAAAUUUCAAAAUUUCAAAUUUUUAAAAUUCGGUAUCGUAUAGUUUUACUUAGUUGUACUUUGUUCUACCAAGUAAUACUAAUGUUUGAGUUAUACUGAAUUAAUUUGUUAUACCGAAUUAUACUGGGUUGUAUUGAGUACUACUAAAAUGUAAUUAUACUGAAUUCUACUAAGUUAUACUAGUUAUACUGAGUUUCCCUAGUUAUACUAAGUUAUACUACAUACUACUAGUGAAUUAGAGCUAUAUUAAGUUAUACUAGUUAUACCGAAUUAUACUGGUAAUACUGCGUAUUACUAAUGUGUUAGGUAUACAUCGUUAUACUGAGUUAUUCAGAUCUGAAGAUGAAAUGAAUAAAAAACACGAAACAUACAAAAAUCCUUCAAAUAAAAAACAUGAAGAACCCUAAAAUAUAUAAAAAGAACCCAGAACAUGAAGAACCCUAAAAUAAAUAAAAAAAAACCAAAAUUUCUAGAAUUGUAGAUCUAGGAUUGUAGAUCCAUAAAUAUAGGCUUAAACGCUGCAUCUCAGUUAGGUUCACCACCUUCUCUUCUCCGUUUUCGUCACCUUCUUCAUCAUCACAUGAAGUUCUGAAUCACUGUAGAUUUGUUUUCGCUUUUGGUUUUCAGAUCUAAUUUCAUGGUUAAUUGAAAGAGAUAGAAGAAGGAACAAGAGAGAAGAAGAAUCUUUAUUAAUUGAUUUGACGGAUAAAAAGAUAGAAGAAAAAACAAGAGAAAGAGAAGUCGCGGAGAGGAAGAGAAGGAGAAGAAGUCGCAUAGAGAAAAAAAAAAAAAAAGAGGAACCAGUCGUUGAGAUAAGGAAAGAAAGAAGGAAAAAUAAAUAAAUAAAUAAAUAAAUAAAUAAGAAAUGAAACAUAUAUAUUUAGGGUUGGUUUUCAAAGAGCAAACAAGUAAUUAAUUUAAUUUUUGUAUUAAAAAUAAAUCAAAAAGAAAAUGAUUUUAGAUGAGGUCCUUGAGAGAUUGGCUUUUCACAUAUGGGAGUAAUAAAGGAGUUGUUUCGAAAUUCUGUGAGCUUGACACUUAUAUUUUCAACACUUUGAUUAAUGGGUUUAUGAAGUUGGAUCCAUCUUAGAAAAUUCUAAUGAAAAAUAUAUACAUUAGAUUUAAUUGGAAUUGUUAUUAUUAAUAGAUAAAGAGAUUAAUUAAUAAUUAAUAGCUUUCGCUUUUAUCCUAAUUAGAAAUUUUUCUUAUUGGAUAAUUAGGUACUAAUGUGUUUAAUAGGUUUCAUGUGCACUUAAUAAACCGUUACUAGCUUUCUGCUGGAAACUUAAAUGUAUCCCGAAACUUAGACAUUUUAUUUGGCAAAUUCUCUCCGGUACUAUUUCGGUGGCGAAACAUUUGAGGGCACGAGGUAUUGUGAUACACGAUGCAGUAUUUGUGGUGCCUAGGAAGAGUCAGUGAAUCAUGAUUUAUUUGAAUGCCCACCAGCUCUGCAAACAUGGGCUUUAUCAAAAAUCCCUUCAGCCCCUGGUAUUUUCCCCUCCGCUUCGGUGUUUAUUAAUAUGGAUUAUCUUUUCUGGAGAUUACCAAAAGAAUAUGAUUUUAACAACUUUCCAUGGAUAUUAUGGUACAUUUGGAAAAAUAGAAAUAAUAAAAAUUUUAAUAAUAGAGAUGGAAACCCUCAGGAAAUUCUUCGAAUUGCGGAAGCGGAGAGUGAGGUACGGGCGGAGGCUCAAAUAACAAUUCCAUAAAGGCAGUUUCAGGGUACACAAGCUUUUGACUGGCAAUCUUCGGGUCUCUCGAAGAUUUGUUUUAUAAAUGGUGUGUGGAAGGAGAAUGAUAAAUUCUACGGGCAGGGAUGGUUCUGCCGAGGCGUAGGAUCCGAAGAAAAGAUGAUGGGGGCGAUGAAUCUCCGAAGAAGCUUAUCAGCUCUACAUGCAGAAUGGGCCAUGGAGUGCAUGAAGACCCUUGAUUUUUCAGACGUAGUUUUUGCAACAGACUGUUCUCAACUGGUGAAGAUGGUGUCCUCACUUGACGAAUGACCAGCUUUUGCUACACACUUGGAGGAGUUUCGACGCAGUAAGAUUUUUUUUUCCUACCUUCAAGAUUCAACAUAUACCAAGAGCAACUAAUCUAGUGGCGGACAAGCUUGCACGAGGUGCUCGGAGUUUCCCUUCAGUUGUGUUCUAUGUUGAUUCCACCCCACCGGUUUGGUUUUCCGAGUUGGUAGGACAUUUAUCUUAGUUUAGUUAUUAUCCAUGUUCGAAAACGCGGCGGCUAGACCUGAGUACUCGCCGGAAAAACGGUCGGCGGGGUGAUGCCGCCGCGAUUAUGGUAAAAUCGGUUAAUAACUUGGAAUUUAAAAAAAACUCAGAUUUGUGUUCAUUGUCAGAUUGAAAUCAAAGAUUGAAUGAUAGAUUAGAGUAAUAUAGCUUAAAUCGUUCAAAAGAAACGUAGAAAAAGAAAAAACAAAUUCCGCAGGCGCGGUUUCGAACCACUGACCUGUUUUGUAAUUAUAAACAUAUUUAACCACUGAGCCGAGUGAUAUGCUUGUACAUUAAACGAAAGUAAAACUAUAUAUCCUUACAUGUUAGCAUAAUAGUUCUAAAAUUACUCCCCGAUUAAUCUCCGUGUAAUCCCCGAAUAACUGAUUAGGCGCUAGGGCCAGGUGAACCGAACGCGUUAUGCCUAGCGCAUUUUCGAACAUUGGUUAUAAUUGUUGUCAAAAACAAAAAAAAUAAAAAUAAAUUUAUCAACGAAAAGGCUUAACAAAUCAUUUUGAUGCAAUAGAAAAUAAAAUGAGUAUCACUUCAUAUGUUGAUAUCUUUUUAAUCAUCUGAUUAAUACAGUUUAGAAAGAUACAUAUACACACACAAAUAUAUGAUAAUUGAUAUUUCUAACUACUGGAUUAUUCUGUGUAUGUUAAGAAUGAAAUGUGAAAAUUUAACAGUUUAUGUUAUAAAAAUAAAAAUUGUAUGUUAUUUACAAGAUUGUGAAUCUUAAAAUAAACAUACAAUAUAUAAAAGAAUUUUUUUUUCUUAUUGUCAUAUCAAAAGUUUAGCACAUUUGUUUUGUUUAUAAUUAAUCUCACAAUUGAUAACGUUUGUAAAAGCAUUUAGAUUGUAAAGUCAAUAUUAUUGUCCUUUUGGCAAUGUUGUACUUGGGAGAGUGAGUAUUCAGCCGCUCAACCCAACAACCAAUCUGGUUCUGAUGUCACAAAGAACAAAAAGUAUCCAGGGUGCUUUUUUUGUUUAACCUUUACUUCUGAACAAAAAGGGCUAAAAAUAAGAAACGGGCCUGGAAUAGAGAGCCAAUUAAACUUUAAUUUGGGCCAAAUAUUAAAAUCUAAACGGAUCUUGACCCGACCCAUAAUACAUCACCUGGUAACGCAAAAACACAUAUUUAUCGUCGUUUCUUUAACCUUCUUCCCUCGACCGACCGACCUAUAUGAAGGAGAGCCGUCGCCGCAAAUCAAAUAUCUCAUCGCUAACCUCAGAGCUCCUGCCAGAGAGAGAUGUCAGGCUUAGCAUGUAACUCGUGUAACAAGGAGUUCGAAGACGACUCUGACCAGAAGCUCCACUACAAGUCAGAAUGGCACCGUUACAAUCUCAAGCGCAAGGUCAGUGAAACUCUUUGUGGUUUUUCUCUGUUAGGAGGUUUCGUUAGGGUUUUAUUUUUCAUGAUUUGAUUAUGAUGAUGUUGUUGUUGUUGUCGGAAAAUGUUUAGAUCGCUGGUGUUCCUGGAGUUACAGAAGCUUUGUUUGAAGCUAGACAAACUGCGAUUGCUCAGCAGAAGAUCAAAUCCAACGAAGCACCUCUGCUUUACACCUGUGGAGUCUGUAAUAAAUCUUACAGAAGCUCCAAAGCUCAUGAGCAGCAUCUCAAGUCAAAGAGCCACGUUCUCAAGGCUUCAAGCAGCAGCGGAGAUGAGGAUAAAGCCAUCAUCAAGGAGCUUCCUCCUCCUCCUCCUCGCUGUGUUGAGAAGAAGGGCCCUGCUAAGCUAAAGGGUUUGAUUGAGGAGGAGAGUGAAGAGAGUGAGGAUGAAUGGGUUGAGGUUGAUUCUGACGAGGACUUGGAGGGUGAAGAAGAUAUGGAUGAGGAUGAUGAUGAGGGUUCUGGUGAAGAUAUGGAUGAGGAUGAUGAUAUGGAGUUUGAGUUGGACCCCACUAGCUGUUUGAUGUGUGAUAAGAAGCAUAAGACGAUAGAGAAGUGUAUGGUUCAUAUGCAUAAGUUCCAUGGUUUCUUCAUUCCUGACAUCGAGUACCUCAAGGAUCCUAAAGGGUUUCUAACCUACGUUGGUCUAAAGGUAUGUAGUUUUGUUUUGUCCCAUCACUUUUAUGUUCAGACAGUUAAAAGAUCUUUGUCUCUUCUCACAGGUCAAGAGGGACUUCGUUUGUCUGUACUGCAACGAACUGCGCCAUCCAUUCACCAGUUUGGAAGCUGUUAGAAAGCACAUGGAAGCCAAGAGUCACUGCAAAGUGCAUUACGGUGACGGUGGUGACGAAGAAGAUGCAGAGCUGGAAGAGUUCUAUGACUACAGCAGCAGGUCUCUUUACGCUUCCUCUGUUUAGUAUCUUGUUAUCAUAGAAACUAUUGUUUAAUAUUGAGUGUGUGUGUUGUAUAGUUACGCCAAUGAAGGGGAGAAUCAGAUGGUUGUGUCUGGUGAAACAGCUAAUACCGUAGAGCUAUUUGGUGGGUCUGAGCUUGUGAUCACCAAGAGAGGGGAGAACAACAAAGUAACGUCGAGGACUCUUGGGUCUCGUGAGUUCAUGCGCUACUACAAACAGAAGCCGCCACCAUCUUCUCAGAAACACAUUGUCAACUCUCUAGCCAACAGGUUUGUCUUUGAGACCCAUCAGAGAUGAUAAUCUUUCUACUCUCUUUGCAGAAUCUGACUUGGAUGGAUGUUAAAACAAACGCAGGUACAAGAGCAUGGGUUUGGCAACGGUGCAGUCGAAGGAGGAUAUAGUGAGGAUGAAGGUGAUGAGAGAGAUGAACAAGAGAGGAGCUAGGAGUCGUGUUAAGUUGGGAAUGAAGAGCAACGUCAUCAGAAACCUGCCCAACAACGUCACGUACUAGUCUCUCCAAACUAGUGUGCUGUCUGGAUUCUGUAAACGCUUUUUAAAUGGAACUUCUGUUGGUGGAGUGAAGUCUAGAACCUAAUAUGUGUUGAAGCUUUUGUUGAAUACGAGUUUGGUAGGUUGAAUGAUAGUGAAAUGAACUCGGUUUUAGUGGGUCUUACAAAGACGUUCUAUUCACAAUAUGAGGUAAACAGUCGAG